Molecule: long non-coding RNA, 407 nt
Organism: Mastomys coucha (southern multimammate mouse)
Lineage: Eukaryota; Metazoa; Chordata; Mammalia; Rodentia; Muridae
Exons: 2
Source: RefSeq, a predicted model, not a curated record
GUCCCUUCAAAGACACAUCUGAGAGACCUGGUCCCUCCAGAUAGCCCUCAUCAUCUGUUUCUAUCAUCUCUCAAGAUAUCACUCUUCUGAGCCUGUGAGGACAUUUCCUACUUAAUAUGUAGCAGAAAUGCUGUAGAAAGGUUUUCCCUGUCAGCCUCGUGUGCUGGUUAGAAUUUCCUCUGCUGUCCAAGCAGUCCAGCAUAGCGGUUGCGGGGUAAGGUGCAAGCCAAUGCACUGUUACCUCUUAGAGCAUCCUGCAGUCCCAGGACAUGCACAGGCACAGGGGCCUGUAUCCAAGUAUGCACAGGGGCAGUAUGCAUGCAGCUUGAUUUCAUCCUGUGAUUCCUCAACCACGGAGCAUAAAAUAAAUCCAAGCCAUUUUGCCCUUUUUCGUGGCAGCAAACCAA